UGAUCAUGGCUCAGAACGAACGCUGGCGGCAGGCUUAACACAUGCAAGUCGAACGAGAAGCUUCUUUCGGGAAGUGGAGAGUGGCGCACGGGUGAGUAACGCGUGGGGAUCUAACCCUUUGGUACGGGAUAACGUUUGGAAACGAACGCUAAUACCGUAUGUGGUCUACGGACUAAAGAUUUAUCGCCAAAGGAUGAACCCGCGUAAGAUUAGAUAGUUGGUGGGGUAAUGGCCUACCAAGUCUACGAUCUUUAGCUGGUCUGAGAGGACGAUCAGCCACACUGGAACUGAGACACGGUCCAGACUCCUACGGGAGGCAGCAGUGGGGAAUAUUGGACAAUGGGCGCAAGCCUGAUCCAGCCAUGCCGCGUGAGUGAAGAAGGCCUUAGGGUUGUAAAGCUCUUUCGCUAGGGAAGAUAAUGACGGUACCUAGUAAAGAAGUCCCGGCUAACUCCGUGCC
RNAcentral lists this ribosomal RNA (460 nucleotides) under alpha proteobacterium KAT13. RNAcentral describes it as "bacterial SSU rRNA". It matches the Rfam family "Bacterial small subunit ribosomal RNA", at positions 14 to 509 of the family's 1533-position model. Lineage: Bacteria; Pseudomonadati; Pseudomonadota; Alphaproteobacteria. The record is from RNAcentral.